Non-coding RNA from Gambusia affinis (western mosquitofish), 83 nucleotides. NCBI's taxonomy places the organism in Eukaryota, Metazoa, Chordata, Actinopteri, Cyprinodontiformes, Poeciliidae. The record is from the annotation of a RefSeq genome assembly.
GUCAGCAUGGCCGAGCGGUCCAAGGCGCUGCGUUAAGGUCGCAGUCUCCCCUGGAGGAGUGGGUUAAAAUCCCACUUCUGACA